This 732-nucleotide long non-coding RNA is filed under the name Androctonus crassicauda. Lineage: Eukaryota; Metazoa; Arthropoda; Arachnida; Scorpiones; Buthidae. The record is from RNAcentral.
UGGACAGAUGUGAGCCUUUUUGUGAUGAAUGGCAUGCUGCAGGUAAGGAUGGAUGAUGAGGCUAGAUUUGAGAAACAGAGAUUACAGUUUAAUUAACCAAUAGCUUCCUUUAUUACAAUUUAAAGAGAGAGAAUUCUUUGCAAGUUAAUGUCCUGACAAUUCAUCAAAAAAAAAUAUAUCUCUGGGUUAAGGAAUAGUCCAAAUUGAAAAAUUACAGUUCAGUUUCGGUUCAGUUGCAUGGGCAAAAUGAAGUCGGGAACAAAGAUGAGAUUGAUAUUGCUUUCUAGAUGUUAGAGAUCAACAGUGGUGAAGAACGAUGGAGAUGAAUGUCAGAGACGAACAAUGGAGACAAUUGGCGGAGAUGAACGGUGGAUUUUUUGAUGGAAAUACCAUAGAGCCGAAAGACAUACCAACAAACCAAUCAAUUCAACCGCCCCUCUAAAUUUCCACCAGAGCUCUUAUAUACCAUCUCUGAUAACUUUAUUCUAUGUUUCCCCCCUUUCUGGGAAAGAUAGAAUGCUUAUUCUUACCAAGAAAAUGACAUGUAAAACAAUACGUUUUGCUGACACUUUAUAUACCAGUUCUGGCAGCUCAUUGUUAUUGGGGACGAGAGUACACAGGUUGGAUAUGAUUAUAAGAUAUAUCAUCAUAUAUCUCCUUUCAAUGCAUCUUUCUCUCUCCUCCAAAUUCCUUUCUCCAUCUUUCCCCUUUCUCUAUACAAAAAAAAAAACA